AUAACAUAUUGUUUGUUUUAAUACAUUUCUUUUGUUCUAGGAAUGGGUUGUUUUGACGUAUUUUGUUUAAUGUUGUUUUGAUACAUUAUCUUCAUUCAAACAUAAUGUUGCUUUGAUGUUUGUUUGCUUAGGAUAUUUUGGUGAUAUAUUGUUAUAUAUUAAGUAAUACGUUCCUUAACUGGCGCAGUGUAAAUGAACCAAUCUGAACGGUUGUUUUAUGCAUUUUAGAAGACAGUAAGGAUACUGCGUAAUCACUUCUCAAACAUCUCUAUUGCUAGUUGUAACUAAACUAAUUUGUGGACCACUUUUUAAAAAAAAUUACAAUUUUAUAAAAGUUUGUGAUAUUAGUGUUGGUUAACUAUUCUGAAUGUUUCUUGACUUCAAUAUGUUGCAAUAGAUCUGCGUUUUCCAGUUGUAGCUAACCAACCAAGACAAGUGUCACAGCUUUGCAUUUUGAGUAAUGCAAGUUGUGAAAUUUUGAAAAAACUGCAUUUAAAGCCAUGUGUUCAUAAAACAACAUUUAAGAUGAAAAAGUGCUGCUGUGCUUUUCGGAAGCUGUUGGCUAGAUUCCAUACAGGCCAUAUGAACACCGAAGACGAUGAAGGCAAUGGACCUCAUACGGAGGCUGUUAUGGUGGUUAAUGUCAAAAAACAACACAUUAUUUUAUCAUAGAUGACCCUUGAUGAUGGCAAAUCACUGAAAGCGGAUUUGACCACCAUCGACUUUUUCUUAUCCUCAGACCAAGAGAAUGUUCGCUGGAAGGAAAAGGCUACUAUUUAUUUUGAAUAACAAAUUUCGAAGUGUCCGCUCUGCGGAUAAAAAUUUUGCAUACAUGAGACAAUUACUAAAAACGAAUAUAAAAUCAACAUCUAUAUAUUACAUAUAUACAUAUAUAUAUUAGAGUCGUGUUUGGUAGACUAUUUAUAAAUCAAGAACGGUUUAACCGAUUUGGCUGAAAAUUGGUUGGGUGGUAGCUAAGAACCAGGGAUCGGACAUAGAAUACUUUUUAUUUUUAAAUGUUAAAAGUCAAAA
This is a long non-coding RNA of Bactrocera oleae (olive fruit fly), 1032 nucleotides long. RefSeq lists it as uncharacterized. NCBI's taxonomy places the organism in Eukaryota, Metazoa, Arthropoda, Insecta, Diptera, Tephritidae. The record is from RefSeq and is a predicted model, not a curated record.